This 22-nucleotide non-coding RNA is filed under the name Arabidopsis thaliana (thale cress). The record is from RNAcentral. Lineage: Eukaryota; Viridiplantae; Streptophyta; Magnoliopsida; Brassicales; Brassicaceae.
UGGACUGAGCUUAGCCCAUGGU